This 468-nucleotide ribosomal RNA is filed under the name uncultured bacterium. RNAcentral's name for it is "partial 16S ribosomal RNA". It matches the Rfam family "Bacterial small subunit ribosomal RNA", at positions 28 to 507 of the family's 1533-position model. The record is from RNAcentral.
GACGAACGCUGGCGGCGUGCUUAACACAUGCAAGUCGAACGGAAAGGCCCUGCUUUUGUUGGGUGCUCGAGUGGCGAACGGGUGAGUAACACGUGAGUAACCUGCCCUUGACUUUGGGAUAACUGCAGGAGACUCGGGCUAAUACCGGAUAGGACCUCCUGCUGCAUGGGGGGGGUUGGAAAGGUUCGGCGGUUGGGGAUGGACUCGCGGCUUAUCAGCUUGUUGGGGGGGGGGUGGCUUACCAAGGCUUUGACGGGUAGCCGGCCUGAGAGGGUGACCGGCCAAAUGGGGACGGAGAAACGGCCCAGACUCCUAGGGGGGGCAGAAGUGGGGAAUAUUGCACAAUGGGCGGAAGCUGGAUGCAGAACCGCGGCGGGCGGGAUGACGGCCUUCGGGUUGUAAACCGCUUCCGCCUGUGACGAAGCGUGAGUGACGGUAAUGGGUAAAGAAGCACCGGCUAACUACGUG